GGGAUCGCAUUCAGUGGUGACCAUCCACGCUGAGCUCUUGCGACUUGCCUCUGCUGUCUCGCACGCUUGCUGUGCCACAGUAUCACACAUGGCUAAUGAAUCGAGGCCCUGCCCAUGUGAUAUUGGGGACAGGUUUGACUACGGAGGCCGUGGGCAGGAAGUACAAGUUGAGCACAUCAAGGCGUAUGUUUGCAAAGCACCUGCCAGCACAGACAAAGCUGUGGUUGUGAUUCAUGAUAUAUUUGGAUGGCAACUCCCAAACACCAGAUACAUGGCUGAUAUGCUUGCGGCUAAUGGAUACAUAGCCAUCUGCCCAGACUUUUUUGCAGGAAGAGAAGCUUGGAAGCCUUCUGA
Pygoscelis adeliae (Adelie penguin) is the source of this 354-nucleotide long non-coding RNA. RefSeq lists it as uncharacterized. The transcript has 3 exons. NCBI's taxonomy places the organism in Eukaryota, Metazoa, Chordata, Aves, Sphenisciformes, Spheniscidae. The record is from RefSeq and is a predicted model, not a curated record.